UUUUCUGGCACGUGCGUCGCCGCACCUGCACACCUACGUCACAGGAAGAACUGCACGAGCACCAAGAUGACCAGAAGUCCCAACCUGCAGUACAAAGAACAACAUAUCCAUUGAUUGCGUACAGUCCGGAGGCUACUUGCUAGAUGCUUUCCUCAAAUACACACAUUAUACUGCAGUUGUAGAGCGUCCUAUCUAUCAUUAAGGACACAACACAGGCAACUAAAGUCCUGAAGAAGCCAAGGUCAUCUUACCUCAUGAUCAACUUAAGUACGUCAUUAACGAGGGUGUAGGUGUUCUUCUUGUUAACACCAGUAUUUAGUAUAGUUCAUUUACAGUGUCACACCAACACAGAAACUGAUAUUCCACUAUGCCAGUGUAAACACGAACGAUAUACUACUCUUUCAUACAGAACAAGUAGAACAAUGGUUAUAAUCUAGCAAUAUUAAAUGUCAGUAUUUAAAUUUUAUGUUCAAGUAAAAAAAACAUUAAAUAGAUAAUGUUUUUGUGUGACUAUUCCAAUAUACGUAAUAAUAGUAAGAAAAUGUGUACGAGUGAAGUAAAUAAAAGUACAAAUAUACAUAGUAACAACAGUACAAUAAGACUUAUUCAAAGUUAUAGUACUUUACAAGAAUACCAGAGUAAUAAUGCAAUCGUAAUUAUGAUUUAUAUUAUCGAUAUUUUAUGAUCUUAGACUACAUUAUUUAAGAGCUAGAUUGUUAAACUGAGCGUCAUAUCAGAUAUUACGUACGCUACAGGAAUUUGCAGUUAAAUAUAAUUAGUUUUAGAAGUUCGAUAAAUCAUUAUGUGUAUUGAAUCCCACCUUAAGUUAUUAUGUAUAUAGUCCUCAAGAUACGAGUUUGUUUUAAAUUAGAGAUCAGUCACGUUAAUAAAGUUUUAUAUCAAAACUGUUA
This is a long non-coding RNA of Pecten maximus, 911 nucleotides long. RefSeq lists it as uncharacterized. The transcript is spliced from 2 exons. The record is from RefSeq and is a predicted model, not a curated record. Lineage: Eukaryota; Metazoa; Mollusca; Bivalvia; Pectinida; Pectinidae.